UACGUAGGUGGCAAGCGUUGUCCGGAUUUACUGGGCGUAAAGGGCGUGCAGGCGGUUUGUUAAGUGCAGGGUGAAAGCUCCCGGCUCAACUGGGAGAGGUCCUUGCAUACUGGCAAACUCGAGGGAGGCAGAGGAAAGUGGAAUUCCCGGUGUAGUGGUGAUAUGCGUAGAUAUCGGGAGGAACACCUGUGGCGAAGGCGGCCCCCUGGUUGGAUACUGACGCUGAUACGCGAAAGCGUGGGGAGCAAACAGG
Molecule: ribosomal RNA, 253 nt
Filed under: uncultured bacterium
Lineage: Bacteria
Description: partial 16S ribosomal RNA
Rfam family: Bacterial small subunit ribosomal RNA
Source: RNAcentral